RNAcentral lists this ribosomal RNA (253 nucleotides) under uncultured bacterium. RNAcentral's name for it is "partial 16S ribosomal RNA". It matches the Rfam family "Bacterial small subunit ribosomal RNA", at positions 524 to 776 of the family's 1533-position model. The record is from RNAcentral.
UACGGAGGGUGCAAGCGUUAUCCGGAUUCACUGGGUUUAAAGGGUGCGUAGGUGGGUCUGUAAGUCAGUGGUGAAAUCUCCGGGCUUAACCCGGAAACUGCCAUUGAUACUAUAGGUCUUGAAUUAUCCGGAGGUAAGCGGAAUAUGUCAUGUAGCGGUGAAAUGCUUAGAUAUGACAUAGAACACCAAUUGCGAAGGCAGCUUACUACGGAUCGAUUGACACUGAGGCACGAAAGCGUGGGGAUCAAACAGG